RNAcentral lists this non-coding RNA (21 nucleotides) under Caenorhabditis elegans. The record is from RNAcentral. Lineage: Eukaryota; Metazoa; Nematoda; Chromadorea; Rhabditida; Rhabditidae.
UGGCUUGAUUCUUUGUAGUAA